Molecule: small nuclear RNA, 109 nt
Organism: Monodelphis domestica (gray short-tailed opossum)
Lineage: Eukaryota; Metazoa; Chordata; Mammalia; Didelphimorphia; Didelphidae
Source: Ensembl
GUACUCAAUUCAGCAACAUUCUCUAAAAUUGAAACAAUACAGAAAAGAUUAGCAUGAUCCCUAGGCAAAGAUGACCUGCAUUCCAUAUUUUUAAUUUUUACAUAUUUUU